GUUAGUUAUGAAUUAAGAAGAGAAAUUGAUCAAAUCGGAAAAUAAAAUGAAGUUACAUCACUUCCGUUAUGAAGUUGCAACGCUCCGACGAAAGGUGGCGUACGAGCAGAGCGGAGUGAAGUCGGGAGUCACUACAGAGUCGUCGUGUCGAGCGGACGUGUACUGCCGUUCUAGUCGGGCAGUCUACCGCGAACCAUCGUCAUGAGCAGACGUGUCGAAUAAUUACGAGGAGUGCUAUAGUCGCUCACCUAUAACUUGUAGGGACGUCAAGAAAGUGUGAUCGGAAAAGAGUACCUAGCAAGUACGUUCACAUGUCCCGAUGAUUCGGUCCGAAUAUAGGAACCAUGGGUGGUGGAGGGCAAGUAGAGGGCGAGUAGCCCCUUCGCGCUAACGUCCUUAUGCGCGCUAGAUAACGAGAGACUGUGUAACCGUUACGAAUACCGUGACGUUGCCGUGAGUGUGUACCUUAUGCUGUGAGUUUAUUUAAUCGUGAUACAAAAACUAUGUGGAAGUAAAUAAAAUGAUUGUGAUACUGAUGACGGCCAUUAUUGUCUUCUAACGCCCACCCUCCAUUCUGAUGAUGAUGUUACGACCGACCGACCCCACUGAUACGACAUCAGAAGUGGGAUUAGUGGACUUGGAUGAAGACAACGUGAUGCGACGUUCACAACAAGACAAUGCAAGUUUCGAUUAUCACAAUCAGAAGAAGAUUAUGAUGAUUAUCACAUUCGUGUGACCACGUGAUGAAGAUGUAGUGUCAUGCCUGAAUUUGGAGAUGGACCUGAAUUUUAAGUGACCUGGACCUUGUUAAUGAUCGACAUCACUACAUGCCGUAAGAUAUGAUGGCGUGAACAUCACAAUAUGUCCAUACUGUGUGCAGUCGUGUUUGAAAAUUAUGGAACCUGAAAUUGAAAACUGUUAUUACGGUGAGUCGUUUUCAUACUGGAACCUUAUUGUUGUUGACUUUAUUGCUAUGUGAAUUUCCGUUUCUAAUAAUGAGGAAAUUGUUUUUUAAAAAAAACAAAAUUGACGAGACACAUUGUGUCAAUCCGUGUCAAUCAUACCGCGUUUUCCAAUCUGUUUUCAUCAUUGUCAAAUCUUUGUAUUUUGGUUUAAAAAUAUUUCGAAUUGGUGUAGACACGCUUAACCUGCGUGGUUAAAGUUGUAUUUUCUCACUCCAAGCGGGUGGAGGUUAGUCAUGAUAUGAUGUCUUGUUAAAUAACGUGUUUUGUAAUCUACCGUCAUUCAUCAAAUGUUUCAAUAUUCAACAUUCUUUAUUGUAAUCUUUUUAAACUGAUUGAAAGAAAGUCAUGUGAAUACGAUAAUACAGUGAAUUCUUUUGUUUCAUGUCAUAAUUUGUCACGUGGUUCGGCAACUGGUGGAUUGCAAGCGGCGAUGCAAGUGGCGCGGGCUGAGCUGCAGCCGUGUAAAGUGAUGACAUCACGGCAGCGCAUUGUAUAACAACGGGACUUGUGGAAGACCUAAACCAUGUCACAAGACCAGUGGUUGAUCUUUUAUUGGAAAUUCUUAUAAGUCCUGGUGAGUCGUAUCUGUUUUACCUGAUUUGAAAGAUGGAAAGUUUUAAUAGGAUACAAACGAAUAUAGUGCAGAAAGUUGUCUUUUGUUAACUUUAGUUAAAUUGGAAAUCGUAAUGAAGUGAAGUAAACAUUGCGAAGUAAAAUGAUUUGGAUUAUGAUUAAAUGAAAUAGGCUAGGAAAAUGCCCGAAACAGAGUAAAUCAUUAGUGAGAAAAUUGGAGCAAAACAUUCUAAAUGAUGAUCAUACCGAAUCAGUAAUUGUGUAAGUGCGGUAAUAUUUCCUCGAGGUGUUGGUCGCUACAUUGUGACUUUAUGACUUGUGUGUGUGAGAGCAGGGUGCUCUGUCGUUUUGUGGUCGUGGACCAUGGUGGCCAUCCCGGGAGGGGAUGUUGUGACUCAUGACUGUUUUGUAGCGUAACCGCAGUUUGGGGAGGAAUAUUACAGCCUGUUGUGCUUUGCAGUAGAUGUGUAAUGUUGGUUGAUUUAAUUGAGCAAUGAAAGCUAUGAUUGACCUGUUUCGGAGCAACUCUGAUAGGAAGCUGCGCACUUGUAGUGUUCGGGGCUGCAGCCACUUUUGUGCUGCUCGUCUUAGAAACUACAGGUAUGCGGUCGAGGCCUGGAUGUCAUGUUGACUUUGUAUUUGGUCAUGACAUUGUACCUGAAUCUAAGUCAAGUUGACUUCCGGUAGAAUUAGUCAAACUACACGAAUUAGAAAUUAGUGAUGUAGAAGAAAUUUGUAACCCAUGGACCACUAUUCUACCAACUAAAAUGUAAAGUUUGUGUGCUAGCUGUGUUGAGAUAUCGUCACUUGGUGCAAGUGGCAUGAGUUGCUGUCGCUCGAUUUAGGUGGUAGUGACGCCUGGUUGUGAGAUAUCGUCACUCAGUAGAGUGGCAUGAGUUGCUACCGCUCGAUUUAGGUGGUAGUGACGCCUGGUUUUGAGAUAUCGUCGCUCAGUAGAGUGGCAUGAGUUACUAUCGCUCGUUUAGGUGAUAGUAACGACAGACGUGUAAAGAGUAAUUGGAUUUUCAAGUUUGGUUGUUUAUAGUGUGUGAAUACUGGUCAAUGGUCCGUUUACCGUGUCGGAGUAGUUGAUUUAUCAUGAUGUAAUGUGAACUCGUGUAGAGUCACGAGUAGAGCUCAUGUAGAGUCACGAGUAGAGCUCAUGUAGAGUCACGAGUAGAGCUCGUGUAGAGUCACGAGUAGAGCUCAUGUAGAGUCACGAGUAGAGCUCAUGUAGAGUCACGAGUAGAGCUCAUGUAGAGUCACAAGUAGAGCUCAUGUAGAGUCACAAGUAGAGCUCAUGUAGAGUCUCAUGUUAGGUCAGGAAUGACCGAGCGAACUUGGAUACUGUGCUGUGGUAUGUUGUUUCAGAUUCACACACGAGGACGUGUGUCGCGCAGGAUGGCCGUGUCGGAGUUAGUUAUGAAUAAAGAAGAGAAAUUGAUCAAAUUAGACACUAUAAUGAAGUUGCAACACUUCCAUCAUGAAGUUGCAACGCUCCGACGUCAGGUGGCGUACGAGCAGAGCGGAGUGAAGUCGGGAGUCACUACAGAGUCGUCGUGUCGAGCGGACGUGUACUGCCGUUCUAGUCGGGCAGUCUACCGCGAACCAUCGUCAUGAGCAGACGUGUCGAAUAAUUACGAGGAGUGCUAUAGUCGCUCACCUAUAACUUGUAGGGACGUCAAGAAAGUGUGAUCGGAAAAGAGUACCUAGCAAGUACGUUCACAUGUCCCGAUGAUUCGGUCCGAAUAUAGGAACCAUGGGUGGUGGAGGGCAAGUAGAGGGCGAGUAGCCCCUUCGCGCUAACGUCCUUAUGCGCGCUAGAUAACGAGAGACUGUGUAACCGUUACGAAUACCGUGACGUUGCCGUGAGUGUGUACCUUAUGCUGUGAGUUUAUUUAAUCGUGAUACAAAAACUAUGUGGAAGUAAAUAAAAUGAUUGUGAUACU
RNAcentral lists this long non-coding RNA (3487 nucleotides) under Pectinophora gossypiella (pink bollworm). RNAcentral describes it as "uncharacterized LOC126367447". Lineage: Eukaryota; Metazoa; Arthropoda; Insecta; Lepidoptera; Gelechiidae. The record is from RNAcentral.